Molecule: ribosomal RNA, 735 nt
Filed under: uncultured cyanobacterium
Lineage: Bacteria; Bacillati; Cyanobacteriota
Description: bacterial SSU rRNA
Rfam family: Bacterial small subunit ribosomal RNA
Source: RNAcentral
UUUGAUCCUGGCUCAGGAUGAACGCUGGCGGUAUGCUUAACACAUGCAAGUCGAACGGACGUUUUCGGACGAACCUACCUUUAGGACGGGGACAACAUUGGGAAACUGAUGCUAAUACCGGAUAUGCCUUUUGGGUGAAAUAUUUAUAGCCUGAAGAGGGGCUCGCGUCUGAUUAGCUAGUUGGUGGAGUAACGGUUCACCAAGGCGACGAUCAGUAGCUGGUCUGAGAGGAUGAUCAGCCACACUGGGACUGAGACACGGCCCAGACUCCUACGGGAGGCAGCAGUGGGGAAUUUUCCGCAAUGGGCGCAAGCCUGACGGAGCAAUACCGCGUGAGGGAGGAAGGCUUUUGGGUUGUAAACCUCUUUUAUCAGGGAAGAAGAACUGACGGUACCUGAUGAAUCAGCAUCGGCUAACUCCGUGCCAGCAGCCGCGGUAAUACGGAGGAUGCAAGCGUUAUCCGGAUUUAUUGGGCGUAAAGCGUCCGCAGGUGGUUAUGCAAGUCUGCUGUCAAAGCGCGAGGCUUAACUUCGUAAAGGCAGUGGAAACUGUGUGACUAGAGGAUGGUAGGGGUCGCGGGAAUUCCCAGUGUAGCGGUGAAAUGCGUAGAUAUUGGGAAGAACACCAGCGGCGAAAGCGCGCGACUGGGCCAUUACUGACACUCAUGGACGAAAGCUAGGGGAGCGAAAGGGAUUAGAUACCCCUGUAGUCCUAGCUGUAAACGAUGGAGACUAG